CAAAUAACGUUCUUUGGGUAUCGGUAGAAGCUAUAUAGUGGAAUUAUUUGCUAUUUUCUUGCAAUUUACUGCCGAUUAUUUUUAGCUGUUUGAACGCGUCGAGAUCAUGAGCAGACGCACGCUUGUCGCGACAGCCCAUCGGAAGCAGUAAUAGUUCUGGAGACUGUAGUCGCAUUAUCUUACAUACGUAUGAUGCGUGAGUGUGUCAUAUAUACGUAUGUUUGUGCUUGUGCUGUCGAGCGCUUUUAAUUGUAUACAACAUUUUUAUAUGAGUAGCUGGUGAUUCAAGAUCUAUUUUUUGACCUAUAUAAGAGAGAGAUUUGCAGAAGAAAAGAAAUAUACCAAAGUAUUAAGGA
Molecule: long non-coding RNA, 356 nt
Organism: Temnothorax curvispinosus
Lineage: Eukaryota; Metazoa; Arthropoda; Insecta; Hymenoptera; Formicidae
Exons: 2
Source: RefSeq, a predicted model, not a curated record